Long non-coding RNA from Cercocebus atys (sooty mangabey), 872 nucleotides. RefSeq lists it as uncharacterized. The record is from RefSeq and is a predicted model, not a curated record. The transcript has 3 exons. Lineage: Eukaryota; Metazoa; Chordata; Mammalia; Primates; Cercopithecidae.
AGUGACACAGAAGUUCUUUCCCAUGAGGAGCUCCUGCCAGUUACUCGGGUUGUGAGGAUGGACACACACCGGCCAUGUUCUGAAGCGGCUUACAUGCUGGGGCCUCUGCUCUGCCAAAGGGACAGACUUCUCUGUCAUCACUCCCCAGAAGCUGGAAGAAAGAGCCACAGCCAUGCCAGGAGUGGAGCCAGGGAGUGCAGGACACGGCAGCAGCAGCCACAUAGGAUGGGCUGUCUACACACAAGGAGGAGAUAGGAUUCCAUUCUUGAGAUGUCUUUGACUGCUUCUGUUGGAUCUGGUGGCAGUCCUUUCUGCAUUUCUCAGAGGAUCAUCAGUGCAACACCCUGAGGAAAGUAUUAACGUAGAAAUUACACAGUUCUACUGGAGAUUCACCUUUAUCCAAAUCGAAGAUGAAGCAUUUUGGGGGCAAUAAUAGGAUGUUAAUUGUUAAUCAGUUCUGGGUCCUGGGAAUAUGAGGGAGUUUAAUUAUCUAUAUUUUAUAUUCCUCUUUUAAAAUCUUUAACAUUUAAAAGUUUAAAAAAAACGUCAAAAAUGCCAUGAUUAUUUUAUCUUGAGAUAUUUAAGGAUUAGAGAUACUUGAAAAAUAUACACAAAGCAAGAGUCUGGCAUAUACAUAUUCCUGAUAGAAGCAAAACUGUGUCAUUCCAGAGAUUUUGACAUGUUGAAUGGCCACCGUGGUGAUCUACAGUCUUCAAGAACAGUACACUUACACCUUCAGGAGGAACUCCAGCUUCCCUGCAGCUUUAUUUCCUGAAGAGGUCAUGCUGACCAGAGAGGCAGCCACACUGAGCUUCUGAACCACCGUCCCCGCAGCUUACAGCUCUACAAGAGCUCCUUCUGCGAGGAAUACC